This 355-nucleotide long non-coding RNA is filed under the name Heterocephalus glaber (naked mole-rat). RNAcentral's name for it is "lncRNA (ENSHGLG00000039080.1)". Lineage: Eukaryota; Metazoa; Chordata; Mammalia; Rodentia; Bathyergidae. The record is from RNAcentral.
AGAUGUGUGGACUUACAGAAGCUGGACAAAAGAGCUCUUGCUGCGGCAUCAGGGUAAUUACAACCUGCUAAUAGCACGCUCAGCACUCAGCACUUCUGGUUCUAGAUGUUAUAUCGUUAACCUUCCUGGUGUCUGAUGAGGCAAGUGCUCCUUAGGAUGCUGCUCCACAAGCAGUGCAACGUUGACGUGUAUGGGCUGCGUCUUCUCUGCACCUCGAUUGCCAACCCUGCAGUGUGAGGACCACACCUUGCUCAUCUUUGUGUACCUGCCACCUCUCACAGUACUGGUCCCUCCAGUCUCUCAUAGGAUAAGCAGUCAUCAACCCACUGAAAGUCCUUCAUCUGAUCACUAGAAG